Non-coding RNA from Physeter macrocephalus (sperm whale), 73 nucleotides. The record is from the annotation of a RefSeq genome assembly. NCBI's taxonomy places the organism in Eukaryota, Metazoa, Chordata, Mammalia, Artiodactyla, Physeteridae.
UCCCUGGUGGUCCAGGGGUUAGGACUUGGCAUUCUCACUGCCGUGGCCCCAGGUUCAACCCCUGGCUGGGAAA